CUGGCGGCAUGCUUUACACAUGCAAGUCGAACGGCAGCACAGGGAGCUUGCUCCCGGGUGGCGAGUGGCGCACGGGUGAGUAAUACAUCGGAACGUGUCCUGUUGUGGGGGAUAACUGCUCGAAAGGGUGGCUAAUACUGCAUGAGACCUGAGGGUGAAAGCGGGGGAUCGCAAGACCUCGCGCAAUUGGAGCGGCCGAUGCCCGAUUAGCUAGUUGGUGAGGUAAAGGCUCACCAAGGCGACGAUCGGUAGCUGGUCUGAGAGGAAGGCCCCCCACACUGGGACUGAGACACGGCCCAGACUCCUACGGGAGGCAGCAGUGAGGAAUAUUGGUCAAUGGGCGGAAGCCUGAACCAGCCAUGCCGCGUGAAGGACUAAGGCCCUACGGGUCGUAAACUUCUUUAGACGCAGAGCAAUAAGGUCCACGCGUGGACCGAUGAGAGUAUGCGUAGAAUAAGCAUCGGCUAACUCCGUG
RNAcentral lists this ribosomal RNA (475 nucleotides) under uncultured bacterium. RNAcentral's name for it is "bacterial SSU rRNA". It matches the Rfam family "Bacterial small subunit ribosomal RNA", at positions 36 to 507 of the family's 1533-position model. The record is from RNAcentral.